Molecule: ribosomal RNA, 433 nt
Filed under: uncultured bacterium
Lineage: Bacteria
Description: partial 16S ribosomal RNA
Rfam family: Bacterial small subunit ribosomal RNA
Source: RNAcentral
AACGAACGCUGGCGGCAGGCCUAACACAUGCAAGUCGAGCGAGGACUUCGGUCCUAGCGGUGGACGGGCGAGUAACGCGGGGGAACGUGCCCUUUGCUUCGGAAUAGCUCGGGGAAACUGGGAGUAAUACCGGUUGAGCCCUUUGGGGGAAAGGUUUAUCGGGGAAGGAUCGGCCCGCGUUGGUUUAGGUAGUUGGUGGGGUAAGGGCCUACCAAGCCGACGAGCCAUAGCUGGUUCGAGAGGAUGAUCAGCCACACUGGGCCUGAGCCACGGCCCGGACUCCUUCGGGAGGCAGCGGUAGGGGAUCUUAGACAAUGCCGGAAACCCUGCUCUAGCCAUGCCGCGUGAGGGAUGAAGGCCUUAGGGUUGUAACGCUCUUUCGGCUGGGAAGGUGAUGACGGUACCAGCAGAAGAAGCCCCGGCUAACUCCGUG